AUUGAACGCUGGCGGCAGGCUUAACACAUGAAAGUCGAGCGGGGGAAGGUAGCUUGCUACCGGACCUAGCGGCGGACGGGUGAGUAAUGCUUAGGAAUCUGCCUAUUAGUGGGGGACAACAUCUCGAAAGGGAUGCUAAUACCGCAUACGUCCUACGGGAGAAAGCAGGGGAUCUUCGGUCCUUGCGCUAAUACCUGACGCUAAGUCGGUUUAGCUAGUUGGUGGGUUACAGGCCUACCAAGGCUACGAUCUGUAGCGGGUCUGAGAGGAUGAUCCGCCACACUGGGACUGAGACACGUCCCAGACUCCUACGGGAGGCAGCAGUGGGGAAUAUUGGACAAUGGGGUGAACCCUGAUCCAGCCAUGCCGCGUGUGUGAAGAAGGCCUUAUGGUUGUAAAGCACUUUAAGCGAGGAGGAGGCUACUCUAGUUAAUACCUAGGGAUAGUGGACGUUACUCGCAGAAUAAGCACCGGCUAACUCUGUGCCAGCCGCCGCCGUAA
RNAcentral lists this ribosomal RNA (501 nucleotides) under uncultured bacterium. Its description in RNAcentral is "partial 16S ribosomal RNA". It matches the Rfam family "Bacterial small subunit ribosomal RNA", at positions 30 to 523 of the family's 1533-position model. The record is from RNAcentral.